RNAcentral lists this transfer RNA (73 nucleotides) under Deltaproteobacteria bacterium. RNAcentral's name for it is "tRNA-Val". It matches the Rfam family "tRNA". Rfam says of the family: Transfer RNA (tRNA) molecules are approximately 80 nucleotides in length. Their secondary structure includes four short double-helical elements and three loops (D, anti-codon, and T loops). Further hydrogen bonds mediate the characteristic L-shaped molecular structure. tRNAs have two regions of fundamental functional importance: the anti-codon, which is responsible for specific mRNA codon recognition, and the 3' end, to which the tRNAs corresponding amino acid is attached (by aminoacyl-tRNA synthetases). tRNAs cope with the degeneracy of the genetic code in two manners: having more than one tRNA (with a specific anti-codon) for a particular amino acid; and 'wobble' base-pairing, i.e. permitting non-standard base-pairing at the 3rd anti-codon position. Lineage: Bacteria; Pseudomonadati; Myxococcota; Myxococcia. The record is from RNAcentral.
GGGCGCUUAGCUCAGCUGGUAGAGCGCUGCCCUUACAAGGCAGAUGUCACAGGUUCAAGUCCUGUAGCGCCCA